RNAcentral lists this long non-coding RNA (457 nucleotides) under Vigna radiata. Its description in RNAcentral is "long non-coding RNA (VRAD_LNC018510)". Lineage: Eukaryota; Viridiplantae; Streptophyta; Magnoliopsida; Fabales; Fabaceae. The record is from RNAcentral.
GCUUCUGUGUCAUCUUUGGAGGGUUCUUUGAAACCUUUUCUUACGAUCUCAUCCACUUCUUGGAAACCGAGUAUCGCAUCCAUCUUGAUACACCAAUCGUCGAAACCUUUGCCAUCAAAGACAGGUAGAUUGCUAUGCAUCAUCCCAGCCAUUACGUACAAACACUAUUCUUCUUGACACGUCUUGAACUGACCUUGCCCGAUUUCGAACCUCGCUCUGGAUACCACUGUUAGUGCAGAGCCAGUUAUGCAGUAGUGUGAAUUAUGCAGAGAGUUAUGCAGAGACAGAGAGUGAUGCAGAGACAGAGAGUGAGAGCAAAGAUAGUGAAUGAAAUUCUUAUUCAAAAAACUAUAUAACCAAUACAAACAAAGGUAUAUAUGCAGAGAUACAAUGAAGGAACUAACUGUUAAAAGUUAGUUGAAUCAGUUUUAACAGAAACUCAUAUUAACAACAACAC